GGGUAAAGGCCGUACCAAGGCUACGACGGGUCGCUGGUCUGAGAGGACGACCAGCCACACUGGCACUGAGAUACGGGCCAGACUCCUACGGGAGGCAGCAGUGAGGAAUAUUGCGCAAUGGGGGAAACCCUGACGCAGCAACGCCGCGUGUGGGAAGAAGGCCUUCGGGUCGUAAACCACUUUUGCACGGGACGAAAAAAGGGAUAUCGAACAAAUAUCCCCGAUGACGGUACCGUGAGAAUAAGCCACGGCUAACUCUGUGCCAGCAGCCGCGGUAAGACAGAGGUGGCAAGCGUUGUUCGGAAUUACUGGGCGUAAAGAGUCUGUAGGUGGUUUGUCAAGUCUUUGGUGAAAGGCCGUAGCUUAACUAUGGGAAUGCCAAAGAGACUGGCAGGCUGGAGGCUGGGAGAGGGAAGCGGAAUUUCUGGUGUAGCGGUGAAAUGCGUAGAUAUCAGAAGGAAGG
RNAcentral lists this ribosomal RNA (463 nucleotides) under uncultured bacterium. RNAcentral describes it as "bacterial SSU rRNA". It matches the Rfam family "Bacterial small subunit ribosomal RNA", at positions 255 to 708 of the family's 1533-position model. The record is from RNAcentral.